RNAcentral lists this long non-coding RNA (209 nucleotides) under Lathyrus oleraceus (garden pea). RNAcentral describes it as "Pisum sativum (pea) long non-coding RNA (PSAT_LNC028373)". The record is from RNAcentral. Lineage: Eukaryota; Viridiplantae; Streptophyta; Magnoliopsida; Fabales; Fabaceae.
AGAGGACGCAGGCAGAAUUGAGUUUGGGUUCCAUUUUUUUUCCUUUUCUUUCGUUUUUUUUUUAACAUUGGGGACAAUGUUUCAUUUAAGUGUAGGGGGGAAAACUUUGUUUCAGUUAUGUCUAUUUCCCUUUCAAUAUUUCCCUUUCAAGUAUGUUAUUUCCCUUUCAUUAAUAAAUAAUAAAAAUAAAAAAAUAAAAAAUUUAUUUU